AGCGAACGCUGGCGGCAGGCCUAACACAUGCAAGUCGAACGGAUCCUUCGGGAUUAGUGGCGGACGGGUGAGUAACACGUGGAACGUGCCUUUUGGUUCGGAACAACUCAGGGAAACUUGAGCUAAUACCGAAUGUGCCCUUCGGGGAAAGAUUUAUCGCCAUUAGAGCGGCCCGCGUCUGAUUAGCUUGUUGGUGAGGUAAAGGCUCACCAAGGCUACGAUCAGUAGCUGGUCUGAGAGGAUGAUCAGCCACAUUGGGACUGAGACACGGCCCAAACUCCUACGGGAGGCAGCAGUGGGGAAUCUUGCGCAAUGGGCGAAAGCCUGACGCAGCCAUGCCGCGUGAAUGAUGAAGGUCUUAGGAUUGUAAAAUUCUUUCACCGGGGACGAUAAUGACGGUACCCGGAGAAGAAGCCCCGGCUAACUUCGUGCCAGCAGCCGCGGUAAU
RNAcentral lists this ribosomal RNA (448 nucleotides) under uncultured bacterium. RNAcentral's name for it is "bacterial SSU rRNA". It matches the Rfam family "Bacterial small subunit ribosomal RNA", at positions 29 to 524 of the family's 1533-position model. The record is from RNAcentral.